GACGUUGUGACCUGUCAAUAAAUAUUCUAAGUAUUUGGCUAUUAUGUCUGUUCUAAGUUAUACCGUUAAGGUAUUUUCUUUAAAACAGUUUUAGCCGUUUUAUAUACUGGAUAAAAUUGACAGUAACGAAUUAUGGUGUUGAGCCACAUGAAAUUAUAUAUAUGUAAAAAUAUAUAUAAUGGAAAGUGUCCUAAAAUAUGGCUGUUUGCAAGUGGGUUGGUAAAAAAUAGUUUCAAUUCGGAUUUUUAACCGGUUAACUAUUCCGCCUACUGUUGGUAAACUGUUCCUAGGACUGUGCUUAUUAUCACCGGUCGGCAGCGAUUCAGGUUCAGGCUCUUAUCCGACCCGUCUUGAAACACGGACCAAGGAGUUUAGCGUGUACGCAAGUCAUUGGGCCUAUAAACCCAUAGGCAAAAUGAAAGUAAAGAGUUGGAGUUUUGUAAAUUUUUACAUUCUCUACUUUAGGGAAGAUGGAAAAUAUUGUGCAGCAAUGUAUAAGAUUUUCCCGCAUUCCCAGGGCGCUUGAUUCUUGCUUUGCAAGUCAAUGCGCACCUAUAGCGUACACGCUGAUACCCGAAAGAUGGUGAACUAUGCCUGGCCAGGACGAAGCCAGGGGAAACCCUGGUGGAGGUCCGCAGCGAUUCUGACGUGCAAAUCGAUCGUCGGAGCUGGGUAUAGGGGCGAAUAGACCAAUCGAACCAUCUAGUAGCUGGUUCCCUCUGAAGUUUCCCUCAGGAUAGCUUGCACUCGGUUGAGACGAGUCUCAUCCGGUAGAGCGAAUGAUUAGAGGCAUUGGGGUCGAAACGACCUCAACCUAUUCUCAAACUCCAAAUAGAUGAGAUCCCCGGCUUUCUUAAAAGUGAAGCCGUGGGAAUAGGAUCAGAGUGCCAAGUGGGCCAAUUUUGGUAAGCAGAACUGGCGCUGUGGGAUGAACCAAACGCAGAGUUAAGGCGCCUAAAUUGACGCUCAUGUGAAACCAUGAAAGGCGUUGGUUGCUUAAGACAGCAGGACGGUGGCCAUGGAAGUUGGAAUCCGCUAAGGAGUGUGUAACAACUCACCUGCCGAAGCAACUAGCCCUGAAAAUGGAUGGCGCUGUAGCGUCGUGCCUAUACUCUGCCGUCAAUGACAAAGAUGAUUAAUAAGCUGUGUGUUAAUUAAUGUUGUAGUCUUGACUGCAGUAUUGUUAAUUACAAAGUUUAUUACUAUAUCAUCAUUAUGUCUUGAUGAGUAAGAGGGCCGCGGCGAUGAGCGCAGAAGGGUCUGGGCGAGAGCCCGCC
RNAcentral lists this non-coding RNA (1277 nucleotides) under Rhodnius prolixus. Its description in RNAcentral is "Eukaryotic large subunit ribosomal RNA". It matches the Rfam family "Eukaryotic large subunit ribosomal RNA", at positions 428 to 1427 of the family's 3401-position model. The record is from Rfam by way of RNAcentral. Lineage: Eukaryota; Metazoa; Arthropoda; Insecta; Hemiptera; Reduviidae.